GUUAACAUUCUGCACUCUCACCAGUCAACAAAUUCCUUCGACAUGAACCAAGGCGACCUGCCCCACUGCUUCAUCCGACAUCCCUUCCACUAGGCCAAAAAAACGGUUGUUUCAUAGAGGGGCUAUGUACCCCCUUCCAUAGCACCAUCUCACUUUCUGAUGGGAUGAGAACUGGAGAUUCCGGGCGGAGGUGGACAGUGCGACGUGCUCCUUCAUCUCGUUCUGCCACUUAGACUCUGUUGUAGAGUGUGAAGUUUUUGUCCCACUCCCUCCGGAUCUCUGGUCUCAUGGCAGCCUGUAACUGAACAUGUUGAAGGGGAAUAGCUCCAAAGAGGUCCUGCCAGCAGGCAGUUAUUGCAUUAAUUCCUAGCACUACCCGAUCACUCCUAAGAAAAUCAUCUCAUACCAGGAUCAUUGCCUUCUGUGGUAUCUUCACCCCACCUCAAAAUAUAAGACCGCUUACCCCAAAUAUGGGAUGGACAGCCCAUUAGCAGCCUUCACAGUCAACCAGUUGAUGGACUCUGGGUCAUACCGUUUCUGGUUUUGGAUCCACUUCUGAAAGAAAGAUUCACUGUACAGUGUUUCUAGUGACAUCUCCCACUUUGACCAGUACUCCUGGGCAGUUUUGUUAUGGAGGCACUGAGCACCCUGUCGACACUGUGCCAAAUGUCAGAUAUGGGAAAACUUUUUUAUUAUUUUUUGCCCCAGUGCAAUUUGGAUGAUCGACAACAAGGCAAGUUUCACAAUGAACAAUACUUUAUUUGAAUAGGUAGGAAAUGUCUCUUAAAAAGUCUCUCCUCAAAAAUAGCAACUCCUAAAAUGUCCAGCAGGCAAAAACUCAUCCACAUGAUAGACAGUGUAGUUGAGUCCGCCCGUGGUAUUGUUCCUCCACUUUUAGUCUUCUCCUUAGCUCUCCAUUGAAUCUCUUUCUCUCCACAGGUUCCAUUCGCCGUGAAGGGAGGGUUCAGUGUCAUGUAUUGUCAUGUUGUGUGUUUCUGUCCUUUCCCUUCACCCUGUCUCCCUCUGCUGGUCGUUGUUAGGUUACCUUUUCUCCCCCUCUUUCCCCCAGCUGUGCCUUGUCUCCUCCUAACUACCCAUUCACCCCGUUUCCCACCUGUUCCCUUUUUCCCUCUGAUUAGGUCCCUAUAUCUCUCUCUGUUUUUGUUCCUGUCCUUGUCGGAUUCUUGUUUGUUGUGUUUCAUGCCUGAACCAGACUAUCGUCAUGUUUGCUGUAACCUUCACCCUGUCUCCCUCUGCUGGUCGUUGUUAGGUUACCUUUUCUCCCCCUCUUUCCCCCAGCUGUGCCUUGUCUCCUCCUAACUACCCAUUCACCCCGUUUCCCACCUGUUCCCUUUUUCCCUCUGAUUAGGUCCCUAUAUCUCUCUCUGUUUUUGUUCCUGUCCUUGUCGGAUUCUUGUUUGUUGUGUUUCAUGCCUGAACCAGACUAUCGUCAUGUUUGCUGUAACCUUGUCCUGUCCUGUCGGAAUCUGCCGGUCUAUCUGAGCCUACCUAUGUUUGGUUAUUAAAGAAGCUCUGUUUAAGUUAGUUCGCUUUUGGGUCCUCAUUCACUCACCGUAACAUUCAG
Oncorhynchus mykiss (rainbow trout) is the source of this 1585-nucleotide long non-coding RNA. NCBI's taxonomy places the organism in Eukaryota, Metazoa, Chordata, Actinopteri, Salmoniformes, Salmonidae. The record is from Ensembl.